This 1150-nucleotide long non-coding RNA is filed under the name Musa acuminata (dwarf banana). Its description in RNAcentral is "long non-coding RNA (MACU_LNC006002)". The record is from RNAcentral. Lineage: Eukaryota; Viridiplantae; Streptophyta; Magnoliopsida; Zingiberales; Musaceae.
GCCGCUCCUCUCGGCGUCCAUGACGCACUUCUCCCAAGCAAUGAAGCCGUCCUUGCUGCCGCCGCCGCCCUUCAAGAAGAAGCAGAACCCGCACUCCAAUUCCUCCUCCCCCUGCUUCGAUCCCACAUAUAGAGCGUCAGUGGAAGAGGGGGAAUCAGCAGGAGGCGCGGAGACUCUGGAUUCUCGGUCGUAGUGGAUCGGGGGAGGAGGUAUUUUAAUUGGUUAAUGUUGUAAAUUUCUAACGGAAAAAAAUUAAUGUUCACAGCAACAUUUAUAAAUUGAGAAUAUAUAUGAAAGGAAAAUAGGAUUAUGGUUGCCUAUUAAUUUACUACAAGAAGGAUUAGUGAAUUCAAUACAUGAAUUAGAUGUUUCGUGUGGGUUUAUGUUGCAUUGGAAGCAAAUACAUGGAUCUUUGCAUGGCCAACAGGCAUUUUACAGAUCGUAUACUUUUAAUUUCUGUUUAUUAUUUGCAUACAAAAGUAACUUCCUGUGGGGUAUCAUGCCGUAUGUUCCACCGCUUCAUUUAGGUGGCGUUCUCCAUAUCUUCUGCUGUUCAUCAAAGCUCCCAAUCACUGCAGACUGCUGCUUAUCACCUAACAAAUCUGCAAGCAGCUUGUAAUAUGCCUCGCUGUCAAAUUCAUCCACUAUGUUCACUAACUUUCCAUAUCUUUUGUCUACUGUAAUCUGCCCAUCCAGGCUCAUGUUCCCAGUUAAAAUAGUAAUCUUCUCCGUUUGCAUCGUUGCGUUUAGUUUAGAAUGUUCAACCAAGAAAACUGCACCAAGGACUUCCCCCAGAAAUAUUUCCUGCAGCACCACAAGAAAAAGAACAAACAGUAAGUGCACAUUCGGAUACAAGCGGAAAAGAAAUGCUGGUAAACUACCAUGUGAUGGUAUAGUUUUGGUUGCUUCUGCUGCAGUUUGUCGAGCAAUGACAGCAAGCUAUGCGCAAAAAUGGACUCAGGAGUCUUCUCUGCAAGCUUUAGGUUUUGUAAGGUCCUCUUAAAGGAGCUCGCUUUCUGCUGAGCACUGAGAGGAAUAAGCGUGAUCCUAAGAUUCGACUCCAUAACCUUCUUCGCAGCUAAAGGGUCAAGGAACAUGUUGAACUCAGCGAACUCGUUCGAAGGAACCGUGAAGACGUUUCCUCUCUUAN